UACGAAGGGGGCAAGCGUUGUUCGGAAUUACUGGGCGUAAAGGGCGCGUAGGCGUCUUAUCAAGUCAGGCGUGAAAUUCCCGGGCUCAACCUGGGGGCUGCGCUUGAUACUGAUUGGCUUGAAUGCGGGAGAGGAUAGUGGAAUUCCCAGUGUAGAGGUGAAAUUCGUAGAUAUUGGGAAGAACACCGGUGGCGAAGGCGGCUAUCUGGCCCGUAAUUGACGCUGAGGCGCGAAAGCGUGGGGAGCAAACAGG
RNAcentral lists this ribosomal RNA (253 nucleotides) under uncultured bacterium. Its description in RNAcentral is "partial 16S ribosomal RNA". It matches the Rfam family "Bacterial small subunit ribosomal RNA", at positions 524 to 776 of the family's 1533-position model. The record is from RNAcentral.